AGAUGAAAUCUUGCUGUCGCCUAGGCUGGAGCACAGUGUCGUGAUCUCGGCUCACUGCAACCUCCACCUCCAGGUUCAAGCAAUUCUCCCUGCCUCAGCCUCCCAAGUAGCUGCGGUUACAGGCGCCCACUGCCACUCCUGGCUAAUUUUUGUAUCUUUAGUGGAGACGGGUCAUGUUGGCCAGGCUGGUCUUGAAAUCCUGGACUGAAGUUAUCUGCCCACCUUGGCCUCCCAAAGUGCUGGGAUUACAGGCAUUAGCCACUGCACCCAGCUCCCAAAUUUGUUCAGGAACCCUCUUUUGGGGUCUACACUGGGACCUCUUCUGGUAACAUUACCAUAAGUGCCUUUUCUAGUUAGCUAACAGGAGGAUAAAACAGGCCAAGCCUUCACCUAUUCACGGCACAUAGAACAAGAAAGAAAAAACAGUGGCCGUACAGUUUCCAUUGUUCCCCCCAAAUGUCUGUAUGUCAUUUAUUACCUUGGUUUUGUUUGGCAGGGAUGUUGUUGUUGCCUUUCACAUGCUUUCGAUCUAGACUAAUCUCGGCACUCAGAUGUCCCUUUGGCCUCACAGAGUAGGAUGCCUGGAAUCAGAACAAGCCGUGGAGUGCAAAGAAAUUCCUCAGUCAUGACUACAUUAUUUUGUUCUUCGUAUCAAAAGCAAGCUAGGUGAGAGAAUUCAUUCAUCUUUUACCACACUGCAAGGGACAGAGGCAAUUUUUCUCCCAGGAUUCAGGACUAAAGUAGAUGAUCUUCUGGACUUCUCUGUGACAUUUCACUGAAAUUGCAUUUCACCGAAAACAAACAAGCAAACAAAAAUCUUCCUUUUGAGAAGAUAAUCCCCAGAAGUUAAAAGAAAGAGUAGUAGUCCAGUUGGAAGUUGCAAAAAAAUGUUCAACUUCUUUCUGAAGAUCCCCCUUUUAGUGGCUUUUCACUGAUGUCUGUGAGGGGUAAACUCUCUCAGUCAAGAAUGGAUCCAUUUUCAAGACUAUUUAUUCAUUCAUUCAUUCAUUCAUUCAUUCAGAGAUAGGGUCUCACUCUGUCGCCCAGGCUGUAGUACAGUGGCACAAUCAUGGCUAACUUCAGCCUCCACCUCCCUGGCUCAAGCAAUCCUCCCACCUUAGCCUCCUGAGUAGCUGGGACCACAGGCGCCUGCCACCAUGCCCGGCUAGUUUUUUACAUUUUUUGUAGAGACAAGGCCUCCCUGUGUUGCCCAGGCUGGUCUCAAACUCCUGCGCUCUAGCAGUCCUCCUUCCUUGGCCUCCCAAAGUGCUGGGAUUACAGGCGUGAACCACUGCACCUGGCCUGGGUACAUUUUUCUUGGGGCCUGAAACUGAUGCCAUUUUGGAUCCUCUUUAGGAAAAAUAAUACAAACUAUGAAUAUAAAAUUAAGAAUGAAAAUAUUGACAAUGAGAAAAAAAUCACUACAAAUUAUAAAGUUGGAAAUGCUGACAAAUAAAACAAACAUAAAAAAAUCCAGAAAGAAUACUAUUUUUUAUUAAUUAACUUGACUUUUUCCAACUUCUCAUAUUGGUGCCACUGGAGUGACGAUGGUCAUUUUGGAGAUUUGACUAGUGGGAAGAUGAGAUGGUCUACAUUUACUUUGGAUUUCAUGAGAUACAUUAGGUGAUCUGCAGUCCUUUUCAUAUAUAGCUCAGUUAUUCAGUUAUUGCUGGGUGUACAGAUGUUGGAAUGGCUUCCAGAAAUACUCCUACCAUCCACAGGCUGACUUGCCUGGCACACAGCAUCAGAGAUUGGAUGGAGAUGCAAAUAAUUCUACAAUGUCUGGCACCAAAAAUAUGCGGAUAGUGAAG
Molecule: long non-coding RNA, 1811 nt
Filed under: Homo sapiens (human)
Lineage: Eukaryota; Metazoa; Chordata; Mammalia; Primates; Hominidae
Description: HSALNT0318808
Source: RNAcentral